This 399-nucleotide ribosomal RNA is filed under the name Salmonella enterica subsp. enterica serovar Typhimurium. RNAcentral describes it as "partial 23S ribosomal RNA". It matches the Rfam family "Bacterial large subunit ribosomal RNA", at positions 157 to 550 of the family's 2925-position model. Lineage: Bacteria; Pseudomonadati; Pseudomonadota; Gammaproteobacteria; Enterobacterales; Enterobacteriaceae. The record is from RNAcentral.
UCUGAAUACAUAGGAUAAUGAAGGCAGACCCGGGGAACUGAAACAUCUAAGUACCCGGAGGAAGAGAAAGCAAACGCGAUUCCCUGAGUAGCGGCGAGCGAAACGGGAACAGCCCAAACCGAAAGGCUUGCCUUUCGGGGUUGUAGGACACUCAACAUGGAGUUACAAAGGAACGGGGUAGAUGAAGCGAUCUGGAAAGGUCCGUCAUAGAAGGUAAAAACCCUGUAGUUGAAACUUCGUUCCCUCCUGAGUGGAUCCUGAGUACGGCCGGACACGAGAAAUCCGGUCGGAAGCAGGGAGGACCAUCUCCCAAGGCUAAAUACUCCCGAGUGACCGAUAGUGAACCAGUACCGUGUGGGAAAGGUGAAAAGCACCUCGGAAGGGGAGUGAAAUAGUGCC